Non-coding RNA from Myodes glareolus (Bank vole), 551 nucleotides. Lineage: Eukaryota; Metazoa; Chordata; Mammalia; Rodentia; Cricetidae. The record is from RefSeq and is a predicted model, not a curated record.
UCCUCCCCUUGCUUUCUGCUAAGUGGGCCAGAUAGAAAUAUAUGCAAAGAGGACAUAUACAUACGCAGGCAAAACCUGGUCACACCCAGGACACAACUCUCAUGUCUGUAGUCUUGGGGUUUUCAAUGAAGCAACAGCAGUAAGAUCCCUGCCAGUUACCAGUCCCGGGGUCUAGUAAUGCUCCACACGUGAACACAGUGUCAAAAAUAAAGCAGGCAGGUGCUCAGAGAACCGGAUGUCAAAGAUCCAAAGUCCCCAUUCGAGAAGUUCAACCUGGGGGAAUGGAGAUACUGCUCAGAUGGGCUCUGAAAUCCCUAUGACAUCCACUCAGGAGAGGCAUGUGUGUCUGUUCUCAUGACUGAACACUGAUUGUUCCACCCAGUGUCGCUUCGGUGGAGCCCUGAUGAUGCUCUCAUCAGCGUGCAGUGGACAUGUUGAUGAAAGACCUCGACAACAGGUGUAAGAGACACCAGACGUUUCCAUACCACAAACACCGGACAGGAACAAAAGACCAGCUAUCCCAGAAUGUGACCAGCACCCAGCUUCCUCAG